CCUACGGGAGGCUGCAGUGGGGAAUCUUGCGCAAUGGGCGAAAGCCUGACGCAGCGACGCCGCGUGAGUGAUGAAGGCCUUCGGGUUGUAAAGCUCUGUGGGGAGAGACGAAUAACAUUGCAUGAACAAUGCAAUGGAUGACGGUAUCUUCUUAGCAAGCACCGGCUAACUCUGUGCCAGCAGCCGCGGUAAGACAGAGGGUGCAAACGUUGUUCGGAAUUACUGGGCGUAAAGCGUGUGUAGGCGGUUUGGCAAGUCGGAUGUGAAAGCCCCGG
Molecule: ribosomal RNA, 275 nt
Filed under: uncultured bacterium
Lineage: Bacteria
Description: partial 16S ribosomal RNA
Rfam family: Bacterial small subunit ribosomal RNA
Source: RNAcentral